GGGGUUGUGGCUCAGUGGUAGAGCACUCACCUCGCACGUGCGAGACCCUGGGUUAGAUCCUCAGCAACACAA
Non-coding RNA from Ictidomys tridecemlineatus (thirteen-lined ground squirrel), 72 nucleotides. The record is from Rfam. NCBI's taxonomy places the organism in Eukaryota, Metazoa, Chordata, Mammalia, Rodentia, Sciuridae.